GACGAACGCUGGCGGCGUGCCUAAUACAUGCAAGUAGAACGCUGAAGAGGGGAGCUUGCUCUUCUUGGAUGAGUUGCGAACGGGUGAGUAACGCGUAGGUAACCUGCCUUGUAGCGGGGGAUAACUAUUGGAAACGAUAGCUAAUACCGCAUAACAAUAGGUGACACAUGUCAUUUAUUUGAAAGGGGCAAUUGCUCCACUACAAGAUGGACCUGCGUUGUAUUAGCUAGUAGGUGAGGUAACGGCUCACCUAGGCGACGAUACAUAGCCGACCUGAGAGGGUGAUCGGCCACACUGGGACUGAGACACGGCCCAGACUCCUACGGGAGGCAGCAGUAGGGAAUCUUCGGCAAUGGGGGCAACCCUGACCGAGCAACGCCGCGUGAGUGAAGAAGGGUUUCGGAUCGUAAAGCUCUGUUGUAAGUCAAGAACGAGUGUGAGAGUGGAAAGUUCACACUGUGACGGUAGCUUACCAGAAAGGGACGGCUAACUACGUG
RNAcentral lists this ribosomal RNA (497 nucleotides) under uncultured bacterium. Its description in RNAcentral is "partial 16S ribosomal RNA". It matches the Rfam family "Bacterial small subunit ribosomal RNA", at positions 28 to 507 of the family's 1533-position model. The record is from RNAcentral.